UCUUUCCUAGCUGAGCAUCUGCUGUGCCACAGCACAGGCAGAGAGAGUUGUCUGGGGGCUCCCUCUGACACGCUUCUGUGGAGAAGACUUCAUAGAACAAAAAAGAAAAUGAAGACCCCAAAGCUAUACAGACAGCCAAAGGAAUGGGCCAAACUGACUUGGACACCUCAUGCUUACCUUACGAAUAAGCUCUCCACUUCAUUAAAGAUACACUGUUACAAGCUAACAUAGAAAUAAGGAUACAGGACAUUGUUCUGAAGGCUUUAAAAAUCCUCUGUAAUAAAUAUACUGGCAAAAUA
Molecule: long non-coding RNA, 299 nt
Organism: Cyanistes caeruleus (blue tit)
Lineage: Eukaryota; Metazoa; Chordata; Aves; Passeriformes; Paridae
Source: RefSeq, a predicted model, not a curated record